This 371-nucleotide ribosomal RNA is filed under the name uncultured prokaryote. RNAcentral describes it as "bacterial SSU rRNA". It matches the Rfam family "Bacterial small subunit ribosomal RNA", at positions 524 to 896 of the family's 1533-position model. The record is from RNAcentral.
UACGGAGGAUGCAAGCGUUAUCCGGAUUUAUUGGGUUUAAAGGGUGCGUAGGUGGGAUGAUAAGUCAGAGGUGAAAGCUAGCAGCUUAACUGUUAAAUUGCCUUUGAUACUGUUAUUCUUGAGUGUAGUUGGCGUUGGCGGAAUGUGACAUGUAGCGGUGAAAUGCGUAGAUAUGUCACAGAACACCGAUCGCGAAGGCAGCUAACGAAGCUAUCACUGACACUGAUGCACGAAAGCGUGGGGAGCAAACAGGAUUAGAUACCCUGGUAGUCCACGCCGUAAACGAUGAUAACUCGACGUUGGCAAUAUACCGUUCAGCGUCCAAGCGAAAGCGUUAAGUUAUCCACCUGGGGAGUACGAUCGCAAGGUUG